GAUGAACGCUAGCGGCAGGCCUAACACAUGCAAGUCGAGGGGUAGAAGGAGCUUGCUCCUUUGAGACCGGCGCACGGGUGCGUAACGCGUAUGCAAUCUACCUUGUACAGGGGAAUAGCCCAGAGAAAUUUGGAUUAAUGCCCCAUAGUAUAUAACCUUCGCAUGUUGGUUAUAUUAAAGUUCCAACGGUACAAGAUGAGCAUGCGUCCCAUUAGUUAGUUGGUAAGGUAACGGCUUACCAAGACGAUGAUGGGUAGGGGUCCUGAGAGGGAGAUCCCCCACACUGGUACUGAGACACGGACCAGAAUCCUACGGGAGGCAGCAGUGAGGAAUAUUGGUCAAUGGUCGCAAGACUGAACCAGCCAUGCCGCGUGCAGGAAGACGGUCCUAUGGAUUGUAAACUGCUUUUAUACAGGAAGAAACCCUCCCACGUGUGGGAGCUUGACGGUACUGUAGGAAUAAGGAUCGGCUAACUCCGUG
RNAcentral lists this ribosomal RNA (480 nucleotides) under uncultured bacterium. Its description in RNAcentral is "partial 16S ribosomal RNA". It matches the Rfam family "Bacterial small subunit ribosomal RNA", at positions 28 to 507 of the family's 1533-position model. The record is from RNAcentral.